RNAcentral lists this transfer RNA (82 nucleotides) under Dialister invisus CAG:218. It matches the Rfam family "tRNA". From Rfam's summary of the family: Transfer RNA (tRNA) molecules are approximately 80 nucleotides in length. Their secondary structure includes four short double-helical elements and three loops (D, anti-codon, and T loops). Lineage: Bacteria; Bacillati; Bacillota; Negativicutes; Veillonellales; Veillonellaceae. The record is from Rfam by way of RNAcentral.
GCGGCUGUGGCGGAAUGGCAGACGCGCUACUUUGAGGGGGUAGUGAUCCUUGAUCGUGUGAGUUCAAGUCUCACCAGCCGCA